CGGGGUGUGGCGCAAUCCGGUUAGCGCGCUUCCUUGGGGUGGAAGAGGUUGGAGGUCCAAAUCCUCUCACCCCGA
This 75-nucleotide transfer RNA is filed under the name Chloroflexota bacterium. RNAcentral describes it as "Chloroflexi bacterium (groundwater metagenome) tRNA-Pro". It matches the Rfam family "tRNA". Rfam says of the family: Transfer RNA (tRNA) molecules are approximately 80 nucleotides in length. Their secondary structure includes four short double-helical elements and three loops (D, anti-codon, and T loops). Further hydrogen bonds mediate the characteristic L-shaped molecular structure. tRNAs have two regions of fundamental functional importance: the anti-codon, which is responsible for specific mRNA codon recognition, and the 3' end, to which the tRNAs corresponding amino acid is attached (by aminoacyl-tRNA synthetases). tRNAs cope with the degeneracy of the genetic code in two manners: having more than one tRNA (with a specific anti-codon) for a particular amino acid; and 'wobble' base-pairing, i.e. permitting non-standard base-pairing at the 3rd anti-codon position. The record is from RNAcentral. Lineage: Bacteria; Bacillati; Chloroflexota.